GCAUAUGAAAGUUCCCAGGCUAGGGUUGAAUUGGAGCUACAGAUGCUGGCCUAUGCCACAGGCAUAGCAACACCAGAUCCUUAACCCACUGAGUGGGUCCCGCAUCCUCAUGGAUACUAGUCGGGUUUGUUUCUUCUGAGCCACAAUGGGAAGACAAUCAGUAGACUUACUCUUGAUGUAAGAUGUACUUACCCACAUCUUCAUGGAUACCAGUCGGGUUUGUUUCUUCUGAGCCACAGUGGGAAGACAAUCAGUAGACUUACUUUUGAUGUAAGAUGUACUUUGUACAGUGGAUGCUUUGCUGUUUUAAUCAUUUUUGGUUCAAAUCCAAGCCAACCCACAGCCCAACAAAACCCAUCCUCUGUCUCCUGACUUGACCCCUGCUGUCCAUUUUCCCACAUCCUUAAAAAAGUGCAACGUGUUCUGCUGUCUUCUUUUCUCUUCACUUCUUGGAUCUCAGCCAAAUCAACCAACUAUGUCCCAUGUAGCAAUGCUUACAGGGUAGCCUAGUGUUCCUGAGGAUAGGAUGGAGAGAAUGUGACUGUCCAUUGCUAGGACCAUGAAGUGUCCUUCUGCUCAAGGUAUGCUUGGUGGGAUGAGGAGACUCUACAGGAGUAUGUCUGGAUCCUGAAAAAUGUAGGAAGGCAAAUGUAGAGCCUUGAGGUGGGAUGAUCUGGGCACUGGGGGUGUCAUAUUCGUUCCAUACCCACCCCCUUAACUUCCAGAGGAAAAAACCAUUUGUAACUGUGAGAAACAUGACAGCCUCAUCCAAAGUCCAUGCAAGUAUUUGUUCAUUCCAUAAAUAUUUGUUGAGAGCUUACUAAAGCAGUAAAGUUAAUCACACAUAGUGUGUGCUGCCAUCGUGCCAGGUGGCAUGUGGAAAUCUUCACAUCUAUCAUUGUAUUUAACCCUUACAAUACACCAUGAAGUGCAUUGCUAUUUUGCAGGUGAGGAAAUUGAGGUGCAGAGAGGAAGAGGAAGAUGUCUGAGGUUGCACAUCUUGAAAGUGGAAGCUGGGUUUGCAAACAUGUCCUCUGACCCUAGAGGUUCCCCCCACCUGUAUUUAAUGACCACAUUCUAUUACUAAAGGCCCCACACUGAAGAUACUGAAGAGUGUAAAACAGAUGUCUGCCUGAUAUUAAGAUGGUCAACUGUCCCGGUUAGUGUGGGGCGGUCCCAGUAUCAGCGUUGAAGUCAUAGCCUAGGGCAUCCCUCAGCAUCAGACAAACCGAGACAGUUGGUUGUCAAUACUGCUAAUGCAGAUCUGUUUCUCCUUUGGGCAUGGAGAGGCUUAUCACAACUGUGCCCAAGGGAUUGAUGCCUCCUUGAUAUGUUAGUUCUAUUAAGCAGUACUGAAGGGGCCAAUGGUGUGGACUCCCCAAGAUGCUUCAGAGUGAACUUUUCAGCCCUUCUAGGUGCCCAUGAGGACGUAAACAGAACAAGGGAACGUGGCUCCAGGGCUGAGAAAUCCGAGCACAGAGAGGAGUCAGGGGAGUGUUUUCUAUGCACUCCUAAUUUCCCUCUCUCCCUCUUUUAGGGCCUGUUACCCACUUCUUUGUCUAUUUGAAUCUUUCUUUUAGGCAGAGAUUUCACUGCUUAAUAGUUGACUCUCCAAUGAGAUAGGUGCAUCCUGCUAUAGUCUUCUUACCAUGUACAGAUACAAGUUCAUUAAAGGAAACUGACUUUGAUUAAUUUUCUUCAAGAAUGUCCUUUAGUGCAGAAAAGAAUCAAAUACUUCUCUUCUUGUCUAGCAGCUAUUCUGGCUGCCACGUGUCAUGGGCGCAGGUUUAGACUGAUGGAAGCCUUGGAUUUUACAUCUGUUUUGCAUCUGUUCUUCUCUUUCCUGUCAUCAUCACAUGCAUUCUAAUUGCGCCUUAUUUAUAGUUCGAGGUGCUCCCUAUUAGACUAUAAACUCCUCGAGGGUAGAGACCACGUUGGUUUUAUUUUUCACUAUUUUUUAAUUACACAUUCAGCACGUGGUAUGGCAUAUGGUAUUCACUCAGUGAAUAUUUCUUGAAUGAGUGAAUGAAUUCCGUAUCGGAGCAACAAUAACAUUCAAUUCAAGUUCAACUUUUCAGGCUUCACCUUGCAAAAAGUAAGACAGGAAGAAUUGACAAAGUUUUGUGUGUGAUCCUAGGUUGGGAUCUACAGACUCGUCCACUGUGUACAAAACAGCUAACAUUUAUCCAGUGUAUGUUAUGCACCGAGCAUGUGUAUGUAGUAACAUAUACACACGCUCAUCUAGUUCUUACUUGAUUUCAUGAAAGAUAAAACAAAUUCAAAAAGCGAUUAAAUAACUUGGCAAAUAUUAAGUAAUAAGUGAUCUAAACUUAUCACUAACCAGAACUUCACUUAGGAAACCUGACUCUGGUUUUUAACCACUGUGGAGAGCUGUCCUUUCUACAUACCUUGCGCUCUCCCUCCCUCUCGCUCUCUCUCUCCCUCUAACCCCUUUGCCCCCUUCUUCCUCUCUCUCAUACCUUGUGGUUGACAUUCUGAGUGUUGCCCAGCAAUCUGACCCUGGGUCAUGCACCAUAUUCCUUAGAAAGCCAUUGAUCAAAAUUCAGGGGUCAGAAGAUAGCCUCUUUCAUCCCCAAAGGGGCUCUUUACAUAUGCUUUUAUUAUCUAAUUUGUUAUUCUCUCAUUAAAGGGAAGUAUAUUUUCGGCCCAAAUAAAAUUUACCUUGGCACUUGUAUAUUCCAUAUCAGUCUCUUAGGAAAUAAAUGUUGUGCUACCAUGGAAAGCAUUCCAAAGGCAUAGAUUUGUUGACAGUUGCAGAACUAUGGAAUUUGGAACCCUUCAAAAAUGGGAAGGAAAAUAAGGCUGCUUAGAUGGGAUUAUUGUCAAGGACCAUGUGAUUAGGACUUCAAAUUCAAACUACAUUAAAUCUAAAUACAGAAUUGUGAUGGAGAGAUCAAAGGAUGUAUUAGUUGAAAGAGUGCUCAGGUGGCCACUCUUGCGUAAGUCUUUUCUAGCUUCACUGAGCCAAUGUCCCACUUUUCUGUGGAGCUGAUGAUGUGUCCUGGCCUUGGAGUUACAGGUUCCCCUAGUGACCCUGUGCCUGAUGCUGCCCCAAGUUCCUGACCCAUAGAGCAUAUCUCGAACUUGUCUCUUCCAGCCAUCAUAAAAAGCCCAAGUAACACAGCUAUGCACUAAGUGAUGGACAUACACUAUAAACAAAUUAUAGUUUUGAAGGCCAUGGCAGGACUUCUAGAGAUGGAAUGAGGGGCAAUUCCCUGUGAUGAGUUUUACACAAUAGCUGACAGUUUCAUAGAUUCUUUGCACCUUGGGGAUACUGUAGUUUUGGGGGAAAAUAACUGUGAGGAAAUAAGAGCAACUGUACCACAUACUAAAUUUUGGCUCUGAUGCUGUAAUAACAACAAAAGUCAGCAAAGAGUGGGCAAGGCAAAAUCCUCUAUAGGAAACACUGAAAGUUUAAUUACUGGUAUUUACUUGUACUUUUCUGAAUAUUACCCAUUUUCGUAAAUAGGUGAAAGUACUCGGUGAUGCUUUGCUUUCCACAGAUGAAAUAUUUCUUAAAAUGGUGGAAUGAAGAAUCCAUGAAAAUCAGUCAACCCCAAAACUUCCCCAAAUCUUCAAAAAUCUGUUCAACCUCAUCCAGCACUAAUUGCUGUAAACUUACAGUUAAGGGAAGCAACAUUUAAACACACUGAUAAUUUAGUGAACCGACUCUUUGUUUAAUUGAUUUUUCAGCAAAAUGCUUUUUUCAACAUGAGCCCCGUUCCCUAAAGGCCUCCUUUUCCCAGCUGCCAUCUGAAGCAUAUCCUGUAUCACAAAUGGAUAUCCAGUGGGAACUCCUGAAAUUGUCUGGGAUUGCCAACCCCAGGAGAGGUGGAGAUGGCUCCCCUCUUAGCCAUGCUGACAAUCAUCCUCUCCUGAUGUGCCCUAUUAAGGAGGGAUGUGAGCUUUCUUUUCCCUAAGGUUUCCAGCAACUUUUUGCUCUUUCCUUGCCUGUUCUUAGAACCUUGGAUGCCUUUUCUUUUCCCCAAACCUGGCCUCAUUUGUUAUAUUCUCUCACAGUCUAGUUCUCAAUUAAUUUCUCCACACUGUCUCCCUCUCCUCAGCCUGUAACCAUGCACACCACACAUGCAUUCCUUGGCACUCAGUUCCCCCAGCUACCCUUCCCACUACUUGCUGUUGUCUCAUCUUCACUAUUCUACUUCUUAUUAAAUUCCAAACCAAUAAUAUUCGGCUUUCAAGUAUUAUUUCAGUUCCCACUGAAAAUGUUCUCAAAACUUUCAGUGAUUUCUGGAGUUCCCAUUGUGGCUAAGCAGAUUAAGAACCCAACAUAAUGUCUGUGAUGAUGAGCGGUUCAAUCCCUGGCCUCACUCAGUGGGUUAAGGAUCCAGUGUUGCCACAAGCUGCUCUGUAGGUUGAAGAUGUGGCUAGGGUCCAGCGUUGCGGUGGCAUAGGCCUCAGCUGCAGCUCUUGAUUCCACCCCUAGCCUGGAAACUUCCAUCUGCUGCAGAUGCGGCCAUAAAAAGAAAAAGAUUAUCAAUGGUUUCUUAAUUUCUAAAUUUGUGACCUUUUAUUGGUCAGUGUCCCUAAAAGCUUCUACCAACACCAUUCUCUCAUAGUUCUUUUACUUCUGUUUGGCUCUCUCUUUUUAGUCUCUUUUGCUGGAUGUUCCUCCACAAUUUUCUUCAAGUAGAGUUCUACACAAGUGUUAAUGGAAUUAUUGUUAUCAGCUGAUCAAUGCUUUCAUUCAGACAAGGGAUAGGAGGUUUGCUUUUUAUAUCAAGACUGAUCCACACAUAGGUCAAGUGGAAGGAAAAAGUCCCUUUGAAUUCUACUUUGAACCCUUUUCCUGGCUCCUAGCUACUCUAGUGGCAGUGGAAAAGUAAGCAGAAGUGAUGUGAUGUUGCAAUAGCAUCAGAGACACUUUGUAUCUUGAGAUCACAAAGAAGUCAUGGGAUUCUAAGCCUGAUUCUGGAGAAUAAAUCUAGUGCAAGGUGGUCAGUGAACAUGGGGAUAUGAGAGGGCAGCAGUCAGAUUCCUGGAUUUUGGAGUGCUAUGGGAUGAAUUGCACCCCACCCCCAAAUUCAUAUGUUGAUGUCCUGACCCCAUUUCCUCAGAAUGUCACUAUAUUUGGAGAUAGUUUUUAAAGAGGGGAUUGUGCUGUAUGAAAGGGAUCUGUGUGGGGUAAAAAAAAAAAAAACAAAACUUUCUCAUGAAUAUUUCCCCCCCAGUCAGGAAUUUGGAAUUUUCUACUAUUUCCAGAAGAAGAGGGAAGUAAUCCCCCUCAAUAUGCUAUUUGCUUCCUUAGUUGGAGCCACUCAUUCUGUAUUACCUUCACCUAAAGAGAAUUCUUUGUGACAGUGAUCCAGCAAACUUCAACAUUUGUCUCAGCAAAGAGCUAAAAAGCAAGACAGAACAAAACGGGAAAAAACCCUGAUGUUUAAAGAGCUCACAUCCCUUAUUCCAGAAAAAAAAAAAAACAAAAAAAACAAAACGCAAUUCAGACAAGUUUCCUGCAUCAAGAUUUGUGCUAUCUUUAACAGAAUAUAUACCAAAAUUGGAAUAGGGUUUUAAAUUGGUUUCCUGACAAAGGCUAUAAAUUUUCCUAGGUGACUCAAAUUAUUCAUGAGAAAGGGGAGAUCUUGAUUUAUGCACUAGUUUUGUGUAAAUUUCAUUUUUGUAAAGUAAAUCACUUUUUCCAUUGACUCACAUUACAAUUUGAGAUAUGCUUUAUCUUCUUUUCUGAGUAAUCUUCAAUUGACAGAGGCUCUUUGCUCAUUCAUGCAAGCUUUUAAUGACCUAAAUGCACACACUUAAAUGAAGCAUAGCCAUUUAUAGAAGCUGCAAGGGAACUUUGUAUUCAUCCAACACACACAACACAUACUGACCAAAGGCCAGCUGUAUCACAGGGAUUGUGACUUCAAAGACAUGAACUCCCUGGCUUCAAGACGCUUACCAUCUUGGGUAGAUUGAAAAAUUGCUUUGAGAAGCAAAUAAUCUGCCUCCACAAUUUGAAUGCCCUGUGAUAUUCAUAUGAUGGUUCUUAAAAUUGCAUUGUAUCACACUGUAAAGAAUUUUGUCAUUUGUUCAUAUCUGAUCUAGUGCAUAUCAGUAAAGUCGAUGUUAUGUGUGUCACUGACAUUCCCAUGACCAUUUUAUUGCUUUGGGAGGUCAGGGAUCCUU
RNAcentral lists this long non-coding RNA (6162 nucleotides) under Sus scrofa (pig). Its description in RNAcentral is "lncRNA (ENSSSCG00030064534.1)". The record is from RNAcentral. Lineage: Eukaryota; Metazoa; Chordata; Mammalia; Artiodactyla; Suidae.